This is a long non-coding RNA of Mizuhopecten yessoensis (Yesso scallop), 693 nucleotides long. RefSeq lists it as uncharacterized. The record is from RefSeq and is a predicted model, not a curated record. Lineage: Eukaryota; Metazoa; Mollusca; Bivalvia; Pectinida; Pectinidae. The transcript is spliced from 2 exons.
AGGUUUUGUGACAUAAUACAUAGAAAGAUCACCAAGGGUUCAGUGAAAACGAACAUCUGCUGUACGGACGACUGAAUAUAAAUUCACAUACAUAGCGACAUUGAACCUUGUACAACCAGGAUUGUUAACUAAUAACUUACUGAUAUCAGAGAUGUAUAAGGGAUUGUUUGGAGCCUUUCUAUUGGUGUGUUUAGUUAUCUACACACAGGCAUGCAGUGACCACUACCAUUCCAAGCAGUGCUACUGUCAUUGUGAAGAUAUCAUUUUAACCCCUUGCCUCAACGACUGUGCUGCUCACGGACCCACAGCCUCUCCUGCUCCGGGACACCACAGCCAUUCGUCUGUCUGCGAUACUCGCUGCCAUGACCACAUGUCUUCCUGCCUAACUCACUGCAACUGGGGAAUAGAACCAAGCACCAAGCCAAUAAUAGGCUAAGAACAGUCAUGCAGCCAGCAGCCACUAUCACAGAACGAAGUAUAUUAAUUUAUAGAAGAUAAAUACACAUUUCCUCUGAAGCCAACCGUGAAAGGAUAGUUAAACAAUACAUAUGAUCCUUUAUACGUCGGUUAAAAAAAAGAACUAUUUGUAUUCCGAUCAAUGUGAAAUGGAUCAAGAAAAGUUAGUGCCUAAAUCGUGUCAAGAAAAUCGUUCAUUCAAAACAAAUUUGGUCGUCCGAAUACUGACGCUGAAAU